RNAcentral lists this transfer RNA (78 nucleotides) under Candidatus Bathyarchaeota archaeon. Its description in RNAcentral is "tRNA-Gly". It matches the Rfam family "tRNA". Rfam says of the family: Transfer RNA (tRNA) molecules are approximately 80 nucleotides in length. The record is from RNAcentral. RNAcentral also lists the same sequence under 1 other name. Lineage: Archaea; Thermoproteati; Candidatus Bathyarchaeota.
GCGGCCGUAGUCUAGCCUGGUCUAGGACAUUGGCCUUCCAAGCCAACGACCCGGGUCCGAAUCCCGGCGGCCGCACCA